AUUAAUGCACCAGAUAAAUCCUAACAGGAACUAGAAAAAGAAAAGAACCGUUGGAGCCCAAAAUAAUGCCUCGCAACGGCUACUUUUUCAUCACUUCAAAAACCCAACGCUCAUAUGCCCAGAGCCACACGACAAAUGUCUAUUCACCGUCACUUCAUUUUUUUUUUGAAUUUCAAAAUUUCUAACGUCUAGAUUCACCCAUGAUAUACCAAAGCAUUAUGCAGUUGUUCAGUUCUUAUUUCAAUCGAUCAUCAUGAAUCUGGGUUGCGUUUCUUUGGAAGACAAGCCCUGAAAUGAAUCAUCUCCUGCCUUCGGAGAACCUGGAAAACAAUUCGAGCGAGGCAGUGACGGCGACUCUAAAGUUUGGCAAGGUACGUUUUGAUCUGAAUCUUUGAUUAUUUGUCUGUUUGGAUGUUGAGAAAAUGGAGGGAAGGACUUAGUUAUGGUUGUGGGAGAAGGACGAGAUGGGAGAGUUUAGUGUUAUAAAGUGGUUUAGAUCAAAGCAAUUGUGGUAAUCGAAGGCUCCGGUUCGAUCUUGAAAAAGGAACAAAUGGGAAGGAAAAUGAUAAAAGUAGCUUGAGAAAGAAUCCGUUUUAAUGCAUUUUGACGUUUUUCUUUCCAUUCUGAAUUUCAAAUACAGCUAAUUUGCCUUUUUUCUUUCUUGGAUUAUCCAUUUUCUCGUUGAUACAGUGAUGAUUUAGGGUAUCUAUUCAUCUAUUGUUUUAUUCUCUUGAAUUUUGCGAUUUUAUUGGUUGAUUCAAACUUUCGGUUUUUGAAUCCAGUAUAUUUCUUGUAAUGACCGGGUAUUUUAUGUCACGUUAGCAUUUCUAUUUUGAAAAAACUUAUUUUGAAUUAUGGUUGAAAAGUAAAAAAGAAAAGUGCCUGAAGAACACUUGUUAGUUUUGAAUUGGUGAAAUUCGGUUUAUUGUGUUGGUCAAUUAGGUGAGUUGAAAAUUUUAUGUCAUGUUAGGGUGGAAAUUUCUUAGGAUUUUAGUAAUUGGGAAUUUUCGGAAAAGAAAAAGGAAAAUGAAAAUGAAAAGUUAAUUAAUUAAAAUUAAUUAAAAUAAAAAUAAUAAUAAUAAUAAUUAAUUAAAUUAAAUUCCUUAUUAAUAAAAAUUAAGAAAAAUAUUAAAUUGUGUGUUUUAUAAAAAUAAAGAGAAAAGAAAAAAAAAAUGAAAAGGGAGUAAUUUGGGCUUGGAUGAAAUAGGUUUAAAAGAAAAAUGGGAGUUAGUUAUUGGGUUUAUUUUGAACUUGGAUUGGGCUUGAGUGUGCUGAUUAAAAGGAAAAGAAAUGGGCUUGAGUGAACUGCUUAAAAGGAAACGAAAUGGGCUUGAGUGGGCUGUUUGGUAAGUGGAUUAAAAUGAAAAGAAAUGGGCUUAAGUGGAAAAGAAGGGAACAGUAGCAAAUCUGGGAGAAAGGGGGCGGCGGCACUGUAGAAAAUCUCACCUCGUCGGAGCUUUGAUUGGCCGUUUGGGUGGUCAAACGACCUCCGUUUCAGCUCAGAUUUGGAGGGGGUGUUCUACUCGACGAGGGGAACAAUCCUACCAUGGCCAAUCGUAUUUUUANNNNNNNNNNNNNNNNNNNNNNNNNNNNNNNNNNNNNNNNNNNNNNNNNNNNNNNNNNNNNNNNNNNNNNNNNNNNNNNNNNNNNNNNNNNNNNNNNNNNCAAAAUCAUUCUUGAUCUGAGUGAGUCUUAGCUUUUUCAAUCGACUUCCGUUUCAGGUCAGAUCUUUAGGGGGAGUUGUACUCGACGAGGGGAACAAUCCUACGAUGGCCAAUGGUAUUUUUAGCAGCUGAAUACCUAAAUUUGUGGUAGGGGACUCUAACCCUUAACCCUAACCCAAACGGCCGGUCAAAGCUCCGGCGAGGUGAAAUUUUCUACAGUGCCGCCGCCCCCUUUCUCCCAGAUUUGCUACUGUUCCCUUCUUUUCCACUUAAGCCCAUUUCUUUUCAUUUUAGUCCACUUACCAAACAACCCACUCAAGUCCAUUUCGUUUCCUUUUAAACAGCCCACUCAAGUCCAUUUCUUUUCCUUUUAAUCAGCCCACUCAAGCCCAACCCAAGUUCAAAAUAAACCCAAUAACUAACUCCCAUUUUUCUUUUAAAACCCUAUUUCAUCCAAGCCCAAAUUACCCCCUUUUCAUUUUUUUUUCUUUUCUCUUUAUUUUUAUAAAACACACAAUUUAAUAUUUUUCUCAAUUUUUAUUAAUAAGGAAUUUAAUUUAAUUAAUUAUUAUUAUUAUUACUUUAAUUUAAAUUAAUUUUAAUUAAUUAACUUUUCAUUUUCGUUUUCGUUUUUCUUUUCCGAAAAUUCCCAAUUACUAAAAUCCUAAGAAAUUUCCACCUUAAGGCUGACAUGGCAUAAAAUUUUCAACUCACCUAAUUGACCACACAAUAAACCGAAUUUCACCAAUCCAAAACUAACAAGUGUUCUUCAAGCACUUUUCUUUUUGACUUUUCAACCAUAAUUCAAAAUAAGACUUUUCAAAAUAGAAAUGCUAACGUGGCAUAAAAUACCCGGUCAUUACAUUCUACCCCCCUAAAAGAAAUUUCGUCCCGAAAUUUAAACUAACUUACCUUAAAAUUCGUAGAAGAGUUGCGAAUAAUGUCGUCUCAUUUCUUCCUCAGGUUCCCAAGUAGCUUCUUCUAUCCCAUGGUGUUGCCACCACACUUUGACUGCAGGAAUCACCUUGUUCCUGAACCUAUGCUCUCCAAUUUCCAGAAUUCGUAAAGGUUCCUCCACAUAAGAAGUAUUUUCACUAAUCUGAACAUCUUGCAAGUCCACUACCCAAGUUGGAUCUGGAGUACACUUCCUUAGCAUUGACACAUGGAAAACAUCAUGCACAAGGGACAACUGUUGAGGCAAAAUUAACUUGUAUGCCACUGGGCCAACUCUCUUAUCAAUCUGAAAUGGUCCCACAAACCUAGGGGCUAACUUCCCCUUCUUCCCAAAUCGAAAUAUGCCUCUUCGAGGGGACACUUUUACAAACACCCAAUCCCCUUCCUCAAACUCCAAGGGCCUUCUCCUUUUGUCUGCAUAACUUUUCUGUCUAUCUUGGGCAGUCUUAAGUUUUUCCUUGAUGAGUUGUAUCUUCUCUGUAGUCUCUUGGACAAUCUCAGGUCCCAACAAACGACUCUCACCCAUUUCUAUCCAACAUAAGGGCGAUCUACAAGGUCUCCCAUAGAGUGCUUCAUAAGGUGCCAUGCCAAUACUAGAUUGGUAACUGUUGUUAUAAGCAAACUCUGCCAAAGGUAAGUAAUCUGUCCAAUUUCCUCCAAAAUCCAAAACACAAGCCCUUAACAUGUCUUUUAAGAUCUGGAUCACUCUCUCUAAUUGACCAUCUGUCUAAGGGUGAAAAGCGGUGCUAAAAUUCAGUUGGGUGCCCAAAGCCCUUUGUAAACUCUGCCAAAACUGAGAAGUAAACUUAGGGUCCCUGUCAGACACUAUAAAUACAGGUAUCCCAUGCAAUCUCACAAAAUCUCCUGUAUAUACAACUUAGCCAAAGAGUUCAUGGAAUUAGUAGUUUUCAUGGCUAGAAAAUGAGCUGACUUAGUAAGACGAUCCACAAUCACCCAAACUCCAUUUUUCUUGCUUCUAGUUCUUGGCAACCCUAUCACAAAGUCCAUAGUGAUAUUAUCCCACUUCCACUCAGGUAUAGGUAAAAGUUGCAACAACCCUGCAGGCCUCUGGUGUUCAACCUUCACUUGCUGACAAAUAUGACAGUUAGCUACAAACUGAAUAAUAUCUCUCUUCAUUCCACUCCACCAAAACUGUCUCUUUAAGUCUUGAUACAUCUUGGUAUUCCCAGGGUGAAUGGUAUACUUCGCCCUAUGAGCAUUUGCUAGAAGUUCAUUUCUCAACUUCACAUCUUUUGGCACACACAAUCUCCCUUUGAACCUCACACUCCCAUCUUCAUACAUAGACCAAUUUUCAUCUAUUUCACCUGCUACCAAUUGGGCUUUAACCUUUUCUAAAAACUCAUCAUGAACUUAGGCCUCCACUAUUCUCUGGAUAACCAUUGGUCUAGCUGAUAUACUGUACAAGCAUGGACAAUGCCCUUCCAAACCAUGACAUAAUUCAAAAUCCUCAAUAACUGCAUGCAUCUCAAACUCUCUCAACUCCAAGCUAGACAACUGGCCAACACUCUUCCUACUCAAGGCAUCUGCUACAACAUUCGCCUUUCUUGGAUGAUAAUGAAGAACAAAAUCAUAAUCUUCCAAUGUCUCCAUCCAUCUCCUUUGCCUAGAGUUCAGAUCCUUUUGAGUGAAAAUAUAUUUCAAACUCUUGUGAUCAGAGUACACCUCAAACUUCUUUCCAUACAAAUAGUGUCUCCAAGUCUUAAGGGCAAACACCACUGCUGCAAGCUCCAAAUCAUGUGUUGGAUAAUUCCGCUCAUGCUGCUUUAACUGUCUUGAGGCAUAAGCUACCACAUUGCCUUGCUGUAUUAGCACACACCCUUGCCCCACUGUGGAAGCAUCACAAUAAAUUGUAAACAACUCUCCACUAAUAGGAGUAGUUAACACUGGAGCAGUGGUCAAUUUCCGCUUCAACUCCUGGAAAGCAUUCUCACACUCCUCAUUCCAAUCAAACUUCACCCAUUUUCUAGUCAAUCGAGUCAUUGGUGCUGCAAUUCUAGAGAAGUCUUCCACAAACCUCCUAUAAUAUCCAGCCAACCCCAAGAAACUUCUAACCUCAAAUACAUUAGUAGGUCUUUGCCACUCCUGUACAGCUUCCACCUUGGAAUGGUCUACUGUUAUUCCUGCCUCAGAAACCACAUGGCCUAAGAAAUUCACUUCAGUAAGCCAAAACUCACUUUUGUCCAACUUCCCAUACAACUGAUGCCUUCUCAAAGUUCUAAGGGUGGUCACCAAAUGCUGUUUAUGCUCCUCCAAACUCCUGGAGUAGAUCAAGAUGUCAUCCACAAAGACAAUCACAAACUGAUCCAAGUAAGCACGAAAUACUCUGUUCAUUAAAUCCAUGAAAGCAGUAGGGUCAUUAGUUAACCCAAAAGGCAUGACUAAGAACUCAUAAUGCCCAUAUCUCGUUCUAAAAGCGGUUUUAGAAACAUCUUCUUCCCUAACCCUCAAUUGAUGAUACCCAGUUCUCAAGUUAAUCUUACCAAAGACAAUCACAAACUGAUCCAAGUAAGCACGAAAUACUCUGUUCAUUAAAUCCAUGAAAGCAGUAGGGUCAUUAGUUAACCCAAAAGGCAUGACUAAGAACUCAUAAUGCCCAUAUCUCGUUCUAAAAGCGGUUUUAGAAACAUCUUCUUCCCUAACCCUCAAUUGAUGAUACCCAGUUCUCAAGUUAAUCUUACCAAAGACAAUCACAAACUGAUCCAAGUAAGCACGAAAUACUCUGUUCAUUAAAUCCAUGAAAGCAGUAGGGUCAUUAGUUAACCCAAAAGGCAUGACUAAGAACUCAUAAUGCCCAUAUCUCGUUCUAAAAGCGGUUUUAGAAACAUCUUCUUCCCUAACCCUCAAUUGAUGAUACCCAGUUCUCAAGUCAAUCUUAUUAAAAUACUUUGCACCUUUCAACUGAUCAAACAAGUCAUCUAUCCUUGGAAGAGGAUACUUGUUCUUCACAGUAACUCUAUUCAACUUCCUAUAGUCAAUACAUAACCUUAGUGUGUCAUCCUUCUUCUUCACAAACAACACUGGGGCUCCCCAUGGCGAUGUACUUGGACGAAUAAAACCCUUACCCAACAAUUCAUCUAACUGAGUUUUCAAUUCUUUCAACUCAAGAAGGGCCAUCCUAUAAGGGGAUACUGAAAUAGGAUCAGUUCCUGGGUAUACUUCAAUAGAGAAAUCAAACUCUCUAUGCGGUGGUAAACCUGGUAACUCAUCUGGGAAUACAUCCUGAAACUUCCUCAUUACUAGAAUUUCUGUAAUGUCCUUUUGGGCUUUCUCCUUACCAUGAAGGCAAGCUAGGAAAUUUAUUGAUCCCUUCCUCAACACAUACUGAUAGCACGGAUCGGACUGCGAAAAAGGCAAACUAACACACUUCCCUCCAACAAAGCAAACCUCAAAUCCCUCUGGCAGACAAAAUAUUAUCCUACGACGAUGACAAUUAAUAACCGCUCUAUACACUGUCAACCAAUCCAUUCCCAAGAUAACAUCAUACCUAGUCAUAUCCAAAAUCCUCAAAUCCACAUUUAGUGCUCUAUCUGCCAAGGUAAUAACACACCCCUUGCAUAUUCUAUCAACUCUAGAAUUCGUACCCAUAGGGGACUCAAUAAGUAACAAAUUUUCUACCCUUUCUGUUUUCAACCCCAAUGCAUUAGCACAAGAUGCAGAAAUGAAAGAAUGAGUUGCACCAGUAUCAAACAAAACACGCACCCAAGUACUCUAUACCAAAAUCAUACUUUCCACCAAAAGGACGUCCUCUUCUGGCUCUAUUGGGGUCAAGACAAAAACUCUUCCUACUGUCUGCUUUCCCCUACCUCUAGCAUUUGACCCUUGAGAAGAACGAGUCUGACUACUCAUAGUAGUUGUCCUGGUUCCCUGCGCUGUUGGGGGGUAAUUGUGGCAUCUGGUAGUAAGGCAAUUGAAACUGAGGGGGCUGGAAAUACACUACUAGCUAUUGCUGAGAACUUCCCUGAGAUUGAGGUCGAGUUUGCUGUACACCCCGCAAUGGGCAAGCCCUCCAUAAGUGGUCUCCCGCUCCACAACCAUAACAUACUCUAUUAGCAGCCACAACCAAAAGUUACCCCGGGAAGACUCCGAAUGGGGAGUGUAUUUGGGNNNNNNNNNNNNNNNNNNNNNNNNNNNNNNNNNNNNNNNNNNNNNNNNNNNNNNNNNNNNNNNNNNNNNNNNNNNNNNNNNNNNNNNNNNNNNNNNNNNNGUAUCCUUCGGUGAAAGCCCGAGAACAAUAGUGCAUUGUAUGACUGUGUGUCACACGUUCAUGUGCAUUCAUGUAAUUGUUGAAUAUUGUGAAAUUGUGUAUAAAAUUAUAUAUUAAACUAUGUGGUUUGAUUGAUACUGUUGAAUUAUUCCUGUGGUGUUGAAGUGUUCUUUUCGUAUUCUUUGAAACUUAGUAAUCCCCUUAACCCCUUGGGUGUUAGGCAUCGUACUGAGCAAUGUGGAAAUGCUCACCCCUUCCUUAUUACACAUUUUUAGAUGCAGAUAUCUCUCUAGAGGAUCCACAGGUGGGGCAGUGAGGACUUCAAGAUGCUCCUGGAGCGGCCUAGUGGAGCGUGACAUUUUCUGUUAUUGUGUUUUUGUUUGGAUUUUGGGAUUUUUUUUUAGUAAUUAUGACUCAUGGAUUUGUUAUGAAGCUUUAUUUUGAUUAAAGUUGUUAAUUGUGAACUUUUAUUUUGGACUAUAAUAAAUAUUUAUUUAAUCUUGUUGUUUUGAGUAGUUUUGGGAUAUUGUGGUUU
Molecule: long non-coding RNA, 7378 nt
Filed under: Vitis vinifera (wine grape)
Lineage: Eukaryota; Viridiplantae; Streptophyta; Magnoliopsida; Vitales; Vitaceae
Description: long non-coding RNA (VVIN_LNC000727)
Source: RNAcentral